CCGAGUUUCGAGGGUUUUCCCUCAGCUCCCACCCUUGUUUACCGCAUGUUGCUUCGGCGAGACGUUGGAAGCAACCGUCGGCGAUUCGAUUUAACGACGACCCGACGCGUGCUCGCCGGACUCCAAAUACUCUUAGACUUAUGUACUGUCAGAUGAAACAAGCAAUUAAUAA
RNAcentral lists this unclassified non-coding RNA (172 nucleotides) under uncultured fungus. RNAcentral describes it as "sequence contains ITS1, 5.8S rRNA gene". Lineage: Eukaryota; Fungi. The record is from RNAcentral.